AACGAACGCUGGCGGCAUGCCUAACACAUGCAAGUCGAACGAAGUCUUCGGACUUAGUGGCGCACGGGUGCGUAACGCGUGGGAAUCUGCCCUUGGGUGCGGAAUAACUUCUCGAAAGGGAUGCUAAUACCGCAUAAUGUCGUAAGACCAAAGAUUUAUCGCCCAAGGAUGAGCCCGCGUAAGAUUAGCUAGUUGGUGGGGUAAAAGCCUACCAAGGCGACGAUCUUUAGCUGGUCUGAGAGGAUGAUCAGCCACACUGGGACUGAGACACGGCCCAGACUCCUACGGGAGGCAGCAGUGGGGAAUAUUGGACAAUGGGCGAAAGCCUGAUCCAGCAAUGCCGCGUGAGUGAUGAAGGCCCUAGGGUUGUAAAGCUCUUUUACCAGGGAUGAUAAUGACAGUACCUGGAGAAUAAGCCCCGGCUAACUUCGUGCCAGCAGCCGCGGUAAU
RNAcentral lists this ribosomal RNA (450 nucleotides) under uncultured bacterium. RNAcentral describes it as "bacterial SSU rRNA". It matches the Rfam family "Bacterial small subunit ribosomal RNA", at positions 29 to 524 of the family's 1533-position model. The record is from RNAcentral.